UAUUUUUAGUAGAGACGGGGUUUUUCCGUGUUGGCCAGGCUGUUCUCAAACUCCUGACCUCAGGUGAUCUGCUCGCCUCGGCCUUCCAAAGUGCUGGGGUUACAGGCAUGAGCCACCGCCCCUGGCCUAACACUUGACUUUUAAGGGGCCAAUAUCACUGUGAUUCUAAAAUUUAAGGAGAUGUUAAUGCCGGCCUCUGCAACUACACUUGGAAGAUCCUUCCCAGCAACUGACAACUUGGCCCCUCCACCCCUCCUUCCAGACCUUCCGUGGACACCCUUAAUCACUGCAAGAGCAGCCUGUGCCGUGCUUGGUGAGAUGGUAAACGUAUUUAUCUGAAGCUGGAAGAACACUUUCAGACAUAAUGGGAGCAUUCCCUCAUGGAGCAUGAGGGUGGCCUAAAUGACCUUGUAAGUGAUUGUUGACACGAGGAGUCUGUGACCCAGAAUAUGGUUUUAUAAAUUUCCCACCGCAGGGCACUGAUGAACGACACCCAGCAAAACCUGGACACGUGAUCUCCAAAACAUGGGAAAUUUACGCUUGGAGUGAUUUAUGCCCAGGAAAAUUAGGACUAGCAAUCAUUUGAUGCUGGUUCUUGGAGGACCUUAAAGGAUUUAAACACUGAAAAAUGAAUGCAUCAUACAGGUCACUGCCUCAAUAUAUUACAGCCCUGAAAAUUACACUGGGAUGUUCUGUUUUUGAAGUCUCAUGAGGGCAGAGGGCAUCCCUGGCUUUGCCCACUAUCAAAUUCACUGCACCUAGCAAAAUGUCUGGCAUGUAAUAAGCAUUCAAUAAACAUUUGUUGGAGGACUGGAUAGUGAAAUUUGGCAUGGUAAACCAAAACUAUUCAGAUUAUAAUAUUUUAAACUUUCCACUAUUGAUUAUCUAUCUUUUGUCUGUCUGUCCAUCCAUCCAUCCAUCCAUCCAUCCAUCCAUCCAUCC
RNAcentral lists this long non-coding RNA (942 nucleotides) under Homo sapiens (human). Its description in RNAcentral is "HSALNT0045042". The record is from RNAcentral. Lineage: Eukaryota; Metazoa; Chordata; Mammalia; Primates; Hominidae.